Molecule: long non-coding RNA, 1140 nt
Organism: Myotis daubentonii (Daubenton's bat)
Lineage: Eukaryota; Metazoa; Chordata; Mammalia; Chiroptera; Vespertilionidae
Source: RefSeq, a predicted model, not a curated record
AGAGCUCACACAUGCCCAUGUGCCGCCAGAAUCCGGGGACCUGCCUGCCCCCCAGCUGCUCACCCAGCCCCUGGCGCCUCCUCUCUCUGCAGCCAGAACGCCCUGGGUGCAGAGCCCCGCAGAGGCCUGCGUGUCUCCGUAAUUAAUUUCACAGACUGAGCGCUCUUUCCUAGCGUGGCCUCGUUACCAGGCUGUGAGGUCCCCCAAUCAGCAAGAAGGUCUUACUCAUGCGUCUCUCUCCAGUGCCUGGCUGAGUGAAUGUGUAACGACAGAGUCAGUAAAUCAAUGAGCCGAUGGACACGCUGGAAUCAGGUGACUCUGGGGAGCGCUUCGGAGGGAAGCAGGACAGAAGGUCAAGGGCCUGGCGACAGAAGGCCACGUGCACAGAGUCCGGGAGUUUGGGUUUUAUUCAAGAGGCAGCACAGGUGCAAGUAGGGGGUGUCACGUGUUGAGUGGAGUGUGUUGGAGACACCCCUCCCUCUCAGUGUGCGCACUGCAAACUCUCAAAUUCCUAACCAACGCCCGGAAUUGUGGGUAUUGUUUGGGCUUGGUUUUCCACUGGGAAAAGGGCUGACCGUGGUGUGAUGGUGAACCCCUCCUCCUGUCAUCUCUCACCUCAGGCCUGGCGUCGGUCUCUGCUGACGGUGCUUGAACUUGGCCGAUGGGAUAUGGUGAAGUAUGGUAUCUAUUUGCUUUGUUUAACAAUGGACAGGUUAUUUUGAUUUUCUAAAUUAUAUAAAUCAUCCCAUUCGAUUGAAUGACUAUCCCAUUGAUUGUUAUCUUACUGGUCUUAGAAAGCACAUUUUUCCUUCACCUGGGAAGGACAGCACAGUUAUCCCAAGGUCAGAGGGCUCUAGACCCAAAACUGUAAUUUAGAUAACAUGCCUAAGUUUAACCCAGGUUACCCAAGGGCUCUAGAUAAUGUAUUUCUGUCAAUUCAGUGACCCCGAGACCCCAAACUAUAAUUAACAUGCUUAAUUCUGCUUCUGUAAACUGCUUUUUGCGAGCCAGGUUCCUCAUUCCAAACCCUGGGAUGUAAUCAAUACCUUUGUGAUUUGUUGCCUAUAUAACCUUGGAGCUGCGACCAUCUUACUCACUAUGAGAUUUGGGAAUGGCCCCUCAUAGUCCCGGACUGCAAUA